RNAcentral lists this ribosomal RNA (492 nucleotides) under uncultured bacterium. RNAcentral's name for it is "partial 16S ribosomal RNA". It matches the Rfam family "Bacterial small subunit ribosomal RNA", at positions 29 to 507 of the family's 1533-position model. The record is from RNAcentral.
AGUGAACGCUGGCGGUAGACCUAACACAUGCAAGUCGAACGGCAGCACAGUAAGAGCUUGCUCUUGCGGGUGGCGAGUGGCGGACGGGUGAGGAAUACAUCGGAAUCUACUUUUUCGUGGGGGAUAACGUAGGGAAACUUACGCUAAUACCGCAUACGACCUACGGGUGAAAGCAGGGGAUCUUCGGACCUUGCGCGAUUGAAUGAGCCGAUGUCGGAUUAGCUAGUUGGCGGGGUAAAGGCCCACCAAGGCGACGAUCCGUAGCUGGUCUGAGAGGAUGAUCAGCCACACUGGAACUGAGACACGGUCCAGACUCCUACGGGAGGCAGCAGUGGGGAAUAUUGGACAAUGGGCGCAAGCCUGAUCCAGCCAUACCGCGUGGGUGAAGAAGGCCUUCGGGUUGUAAAGCCCUUUUGUUGGGAAAGAAAAGCAGCAGGUUAAUACCCCACUGUUCUGACGGUACCCAAAGAAUAAGCACCGGCUAACUUCGUG